RNAcentral lists this transfer RNA (74 nucleotides) under Bacteroidota bacterium. RNAcentral's name for it is "Bacteroidetes bacterium tRNA-Arg". It matches the Rfam family "tRNA". Rfam says of the family: Transfer RNA (tRNA) molecules are approximately 80 nucleotides in length. Their secondary structure includes four short double-helical elements and three loops (D, anti-codon, and T loops). RNAcentral also lists the same sequence under 1 other name. Lineage: Bacteria; Pseudomonadati; Bacteroidota. The record is from RNAcentral.
GGUUCCAUAGCUCAACCGGAUAGAGCAACGGUUUUCUAAACCGUAGGUUCCAGGUUCGAGUCCUGGUGGGACCA